This is a non-coding RNA of Coffea arabica (coffee), 4712 nucleotides long. NCBI's taxonomy places the organism in Eukaryota, Viridiplantae, Streptophyta, Magnoliopsida, Gentianales, Rubiaceae. The record is from RefSeq and is a predicted model, not a curated record.
AAAUGAAUUUGGAAUGAAGACCUCUUGUCCCCAAUAUAGUUCCUCUCACCUAGGGUUUUACCGCAACUCUCCUCGGACUCCUCCAUAAGGACCAUAACUAGCUACAAGCAGCCCCUUCCUCACCACCCAUCAGAAAAUGGUUUAGGGACGCCAAGGAGAGCGCGUCAGGCUUUACAUGAGAGGAACUAUAUUGGGGUACAAGAGGUUGCAGUCCAACCAAUACCCGAACACUUCGUUGAUUCAGAUCGAAAGAGUGAACACAAAGGAGGAGGUGGCUUGGUACCUCGGCAAGAAGAUGGCGUACAUCUACAAGGCUAAGGUUAAGAAGAAUGGAUCUCAUUACCGCUGUAUUUGGGGAAAGGUUUGCAGGCCUCACGGUAACAUGGAGAAGUUUUUCAUGAGAACAAUUUGUGUGGUUACUGAUGAACAUGACCAAAAAAUGUUGGUGGAGAGAGAACGAGCAAGAUGUGGAUCUGAAGACUAUACAGAUGAUGUCAAUCAUGCUUAAAAUUGUUUGUGUUACACAAUUCAUCCAAAAUAUGGCUGUUAGAUAUGCAGAAUUGAUGGAGACUUGUGUGCACAACAUGUGGGGGGUGAAAGGGACAGAUUUUGUUAAUUUUCAUAAGGCGACUUGAUUUGUUAAGUAAUAUCCCCUCCACAUUUCAAGAAGCAUGUUAGAAAAGAUGGCACUGUGGCUAGUUUCCAAGUAUUUUGAAACUUCCCCAGUAUAAGUUAUCCAAAGUUACUGCAGACACAGUUGAAAGCAAUUUCGUUGAUCGGCGCAGAUUUAUCCUAAUUUAAUAUAAUGAGUUAGAUUAGCAUUCAAUAACUUUAAGUUGACUUCUUUUUGGACACAGUUUGAUGUUCUGCUGUUGGGGCACUGAUGUGUAAUGUUUAGACUUGAGGAGGGUUUCUCAUAUGCAUGAAUGCUACAUUUUCCAUGUUUGACCUGUUCCAUCUGGCUAUGACUAGAUUUUGCAAUUUGUUGGAGUUCCUGAAAUUUGAUAACUGUGUCCAUGCUGUGGAGUGGUACACUAGACAUUCAGAAGCUACUCCUGAUUUUUGUGAUCAUUAUCGGUUUCUACUGUUUCCAUUCUUAGUGUUGUCAUGAAUUAGGUUUUGUUAAAUUGUUAUGGAGUCGUUUUUGACUAUUUGCUUGGCUACUAGUAAUUUGUUUGGACAUUUACAGUUUUCUUAUUAUAUAUCAACACAACAUACAAUGCACCAAAGAGGGUUAUUGUUCACUUUUCGUUGUCAUCACGUGCUACUCACGUGAGUUAUCUAAAUUGGUUCUUCUCGGUGCUCCAGCAUCGCCCAUGGAUUUCUGAUGGGAUCAGAGGCUCAUGUGAUUUUCUUUCUUCUUUCGCAGAUGUCUUGAGCUACCAGAAGAACCUUGCCUAAAAUGAUGAUUGGCCCGAUUUACCAUCUUUAUCUGUUGGAUAUUGGCCAUGAACGCUGCUCUAAAUUUCAACAUAACAUAUUAUCUCUUCCUACCGGCUCACCCUUUUCUUCACUUUGGUUUUCAUAUUGGUUUCUCUUUCUAGGGUUUUCACAUCUCUUUUUCUGUCUGGCUUGUCUUUUCUCCUUAUCCUUUCCUUGCUCUAAUUGUGGCUUCUUUUCUUGCGUACUUCCAUCUUCUACCCUAAAACCUCAACCCUUCUUAUUGUGAUAUCAUAAUGUGAUGAUAUUAUUAUUUGAUUUUGGGGGUUUUUUGGUUCAUAUGUGAUUUUUGGGGGUUGUUUUUUGUUUUUCGUUUCCUAUUCUUUUGGUUUUGGGUGUUUGUGUCUUUUUAUUUCCUUUAUUUUUCAUGUAUCUGCUUUUCCACUUUUAGUAGGUCUCCCUGUAUUUGGAUUUGGCCAUUGCUCUAUCUACAUGAAACUUAGGCAUAUGGAAUUAUUAUGUGAUUUUUAGGGGGUUGUUUCUUGUUUUUCCAUUUCUGUUUCUUUUGCUUUUGGAUGUUUGCUUGUACCUUUUUAUCUGCUUUCUUUCUGAUCUGGCCAUUGCUUUGUCUUUUCUUUAUUUUGUCCUGGUUACUAUCAGUUUGCUUCAAGUAGAAUGUGUUCUCAGAGUUGCACCGUCUCCGCAGCUGACCACACAUAAGGUAACUCACGACUCUGCCUUCCUUCCUUUCCUUUUUUUUUUUGGGUCUAUUUUUGAGUGAUCCGAACUAUUUUUUUUCACUUAGAGAUUAUGUAAAGAACAAUUAUUACAUCAAUGGCUGGCCAUAGCCAACAACAUAUUUUGCCAUUGGUUAUUCUGCGACCUUGCCCCUCCUUCCUUCACUUUUCUAUUCUUAGUGGUCUCUCGAUGCUCUGUGGUUCGUUUUUUCCCUUUAUACCCAAAUGAUAUAUUUUGAUUUCCUCUGGUUGCUAGGGACUCUUGAAAAACAAAGCUAAUGAUUAAGUGUUUUCCAUUUCAUUAUAGGAGAAAUAAUUGCAGGAACAAAACAACUUCUUGUCAAAGCAGGUGCAUUGGAUAAACCUUACUUUUUGCAUCUUUAGAUGCAUUUUCCCCUUAUUUUUACUGUUCCAACUCUCAUCCUAAGUGCAAAGAAAAUAAUCAUUUGUUCAUUAUUCGCACCUCCAAUUUGAGUUAAAGGAAAAUGAGAACAUAGUUACUGUAUGCUGCUCAUCUGCAAUCUGAGCUGCUGCCUGAGUUGGUGCCCUUUUCUUUCUUAAAAUUAGGUACUGUCUCUGAAAAUCUCUUGCCACUAUUCUGUGUAAAUAGACACAUGCCGAUCCCAGUAAUUCUGAUGCAACUUUUGAUCUACUACUAUUGCAGAAAGACCAGUGAAGGCUAGGCUGCAACCCACCAAAUUUAAAAGAUCUUUUCCACUGUGCUUCUAAAAAUUUUGAUAUCGAGAUAUACUCUUCACCUUGGAGAAAAAUCCGUUUCGUGCUUUCAAGAGAAUUAUAUACAUGCAUAUGACUAAACAUUCUCCAAUUUGAUUCACUUCCUCAACUAAUGUUGUUAGAUUAUUUAUUUUAUAUUCUUCGAAUUUUAUUUGUAUUUUAUUAGCAAAAUUGAUGCAAUUAAGGAGUUUUUUACACUUUUCCUGUGUAUUUUCCUUGCAAGCAAAUGGACCCUUAGGCAAAGUGGAUGGAUGGAAGAGAUGGUGGUGAUGCGAACUUGUUCAUACCAUCUUGGCUGGUUUAUCUCAUGAGUAAAUAAUGACUAAGAAGGGAAAACUUCUUUUUGCUUUCAAGCCAGAAAAGUUACUUGUCAAAAUAAUUAUGUUUUUAAUUUUGUUUUAUUCAGCGCCAAACAUGCCUAUCUUAAUGAAGUAGGUAUUAUGUGCAUGAUACUAUGUAUUUUGUGUUUGCGAUGCUAAUUAAAUUGUUGAUAAGAAAAUACUUGACACUUUCAUAUAGUACUUUAAUACCCAACGAAAAAGAAAGUGUUUUAUGUGAGUUGUGUUUUUGGCUGGUGCGUAACUCUUAUUUCAAGGCCAAUGUAUGAGGCUGUUUAUUUGUAUGUUUCAUUCGAUAGCUUACGUCUGCAUUUUGGUUGAUGGCCUUGGAGUAAAGCAAAUACAUGGAUUUCUUUCUGAAGACUUUUAUUCAAAGAAAAACUAGGGUCAGUGAGUUCUUGCUAUAUAUGUGUGUUCUUUAUUUACUUAAAGCAUUUGGAUUAAUAGUGAGUAUUUUACACAUUGAAUGCAGAACUCCCAUGUAACAUUUUUAUGUCAAUUUUAGUUCUGGUGCUAUGUCAACCUUGAUUUGAUGUGUGAAGCCCAUGCCCAGACCUAUGUAAUGACAAAAGUCAUGAAAUUGAUGCAAAAUAGGUAAAAAUGGAAACUAAAUGAGUUGAAGAGAUGUAAGAGUUUGGUCUAUAAUGGAUUGGAAGAAGUAUAAGGAGGCAAGUGAAAGGAACAGGGGUUAUUGGCUUGAGGAUGCAGUGGAAAUCUCAUGUAGUGAGAGCUUUAAUUAUUAGUAUAGAUUCUAUUUAAUAGGAACUUCGGUUGGUUAUUGAAAUUAAUGACCUUACAGGGAUAUAAUGGUAUCUUUUGCAAACUUAUCUUAACAAAUUUAUAAAUGUCUUCAUAGUUUUUCGUCUCAAUUAUUUGCUUGUCCUUUUUUCUUUUUUGGGUUAAAAAGAAGCAUUCCCGAGAGGGGGAAAGAAUGAUCAAUGCCUUGUAUAUUUUGCAAAGAAUGACACUGGGACUUGCAUUUUGAUAUGUCAUAUGAAUGAUUUAGCAGACAUUUAGUUGUUUCAUUUUGCUUACAUGAGGUUUGCCCUAUGCAACUACCAUGAUAAUCCUGCAGAGCUGUCGAACGAGUUGUGCAGGUCCAUUUGUGCUCCUUCCAUCCAUUGCUAAAAUUUGCCGUUCAUUUAACAGAAAAUUCCGGAUCACAUUGAUUAAAAAUUAGUUGAGCAUCGCACUCCAGACAUUGUUCUUACAAGUGGAACUAGAGUUUACAGUAUUGGAAACAGGAAAGAUAGAUUUCAUCGAAAAUGGAGCGACUUUGUUGCAGAUCAUAACCUCCAAGAUGGAGACAUUCUACUCUUUCUUCCUCAAUCUCACACUUUGUUUGCUUUGUUAAUCUUUGAAACCAAUGGAAUAGAAAUUAUUUACCCCUGGCAUCGCACGUUCAUGAUUUAAAUAUUAUGUUUGUAGAUUCUGAAUUAUCAAUGAAAUUGGUCGUCCGAUGUAAUGAAAUGAUUUGUGGUUCGUACUUAAGAAUGACUUCAGUAGAUUUAACCUUUUUCCA